CCUACGGGGUGCUGCAGUGGGGAAUAUUGCACAAUGGGCGAAAGCCUGAUGCAGCGAGGCCGCGUGAGCGAAGAAGGCCUUCGGGUCGUAAAGCUCUGUCCUAUGGGAAGAAAGAUGACGGUACCAUAGGAGGAAGCACCGGCUAACUACGUGCCAGCAGCCGCGGUAAUACGUAGGGGGCGAGCGUUGUCCGGAAUGACCGGGCGUAAAGGGUACGUAGGCGGAUGGAUAAGUCAGAUGUGAAAGGCAUAGGCUUAACCUGUGUAAGCAUUUGAAACUGUCUAGCUUGAGUACAGGAGAGGACAGUGGACCUUGGGGUGUAGCGGUGAAGUGCGUAGAUAUCAGCAGGAAUACCAGGGGUGAAGUCGCCUUUCUGGACUUAGACUGCCGCUGAGGUACGAAAGCGUGGGGAGGCAACAGGAUUAGAUACCCCGGUAGUC
RNAcentral lists this ribosomal RNA (440 nucleotides) under uncultured bacterium. RNAcentral describes it as "bacterial SSU rRNA". It matches the Rfam family "Bacterial small subunit ribosomal RNA", at positions 338 to 795 of the family's 1533-position model. The record is from RNAcentral.